This 256-nucleotide long non-coding RNA is filed under the name Macaca mulatta (Rhesus monkey). RNAcentral's name for it is "lncRNA (ENSMMUG00000049450.1)". The record is from RNAcentral. Lineage: Eukaryota; Metazoa; Chordata; Mammalia; Primates; Cercopithecidae.
AUGAGGCCUGAUCGACUCCUUUUGUUCGCUGGAGUGGCAGACUCAGUAGAGGAAGCUGAGACCAAGCAGCCGCAGGAACAAGGUGUUUUUGUGACUUGCAGAAAUACCUCCACCUUGCCUGGGCCUGGAGCCACAGGCGACCCUGCCGAAGGUGAAGAAUGUUCUAGAACAAUGCAAGACCUGCCCAGGCUGCCCCCAGGAGCCAGCAUCCUGGGGUCUCUGUGCGGCAUCCAGCAACAUGAGCUUGCAGGACCCC